UACAGAGGGUGCGAGCGUUAAUCGGAAUUACUGGGCGUAAAGGGCUCGUAGGUGGCCAACUAAGUCAGACGUGAAAUCCCUCAGCUUAACUGGGGAACUGCGUCUGAUACUGGAUGGCUUGAGUUUGGGAGAGGGAUGCGGAAUUCCAGGUGUAGCGGUGAAAUGCGUAGAUAUCUGGAGGAACACCGGUGGCGAAGGCGGCAUCCUGGACCAACACUGACACUGAGGAGCGAAAGCCAGGGGAGCAAACGGG
This 253-nucleotide ribosomal RNA is filed under the name uncultured bacterium. RNAcentral's name for it is "partial 16S ribosomal RNA". It matches the Rfam family "Bacterial small subunit ribosomal RNA", at positions 524 to 776 of the family's 1533-position model. The record is from RNAcentral.